GCGGGAGGAGCCGGCGGCUCCUCGGCGCCCGGGACCGGCGUGGCCGGGAGUGGAGGUUCGGCGGCCUGGGAGAUAGGGAAGACGCGGCCCAGCCGGCGGGCAGUGGGGUGUACGGGCGAGCUGGCAAGUGGGACGGGGGCGUCCACACAGGCCGGGGGCUAUGGCGGUCGGGGGAGUGCGUGGUCCGUGGACCUUGGACCACCGAGAUGUGGAAGCCCCAGUAAGGCACUUGGCGGCUCCGAGCCCCCGCUUCCUUUUCUGUAAAGUGGGAUGUGAUUCAUCUCACACGAGUUAUUAAUAUCACCGUUUGCUCGUUACCCGACGCAGAAUCACCCCGCAGUCCCACGAGGUAGCGCUCUGUACACUGUACAAACGAGGAAGCGUGGCUCCGAGAGGCGAGUGGACUCCUAAGUGGUGCUUUUGCCAGAGGAGUGGGUUUCGUGGACCUUGAGCUCGAGGUUGGGGUUUGAAAUCUGCCCCUGCCACGUAACGAUGGCGAGGCGGAGGGCAGGUCGCUCCCGGCCUUGGUGUUUCCAUUAGGGAAGUGAUACCAUCUUCUAGAGCUGCAGUCACGGUUAAAUUCGAUCAGCGGUUCCCAAACUCUUAGUCUCAAGACCACCUUAUUCUCUUUAAAAAUGAGAGCCUCAAAAAGUUUGCUAGUGUGGGUUAUAUCUAUCAAUAUUCACCGUAUUAUAAAUAUGAAAUUUAGAAGAAUACUUUUCGUCUUAAAAAUAAACAUUCUUAAAAACCUGUAUCUCGUGCUCGCUUCGGCAGCACAUAUACUAAAAUUGGAACGAUACAGAGAAGAUUAGCAUGGCCCCUGCGCAAGGAUGACACGCAAAUUCGUGAAGCGUUCCAUAUUUUUUGGAUCCUGAAAAACUUAACAGGAACCCAUGGGGGAGGGGAAGGAAAAAAAAAAAAAAAAGAAGUUAGAGUGGGAGAGAGCCAAAGCAUAAGAGACUGUUAAAAACUGAGAACAAACUGAGGGUUGAUGGGGGGUGGGAGGGAGGGGAGGGUGGGUGAUGGGUAUUGAGGAGGGCACCUUUUGGGAUGAGCACUGGGUGUUGUAUGGAAACCAAUUUGUCAAUAAAUUUCAUAAAAAAAAAAAAAAAAAACCUGUAUCUCCCAAAAAUACAGAGAAGAGUGGGAACUGUUUUACAUUUUUUUAAAAUCUCCUUAAAGUUUUAAAGAUACAUAGAACAUAGCUGGAUUCUCACAUCUGCUUCUGCAUGCACUGUUGCAAUAGACCGCUUUGAAGUAUAUGAGGAAAAUCCAGCCUCAGAUACAUGGUCCAACAAGGAAAGAGCUACAAACCAACCUCCGAACAGCUUAGAGCACCACCAGGCACCUGGCAAGGCCUUGGAAACUGAUGAAAUGAAGCCGGUGAGUCAGGAAAACAAGCUGAUGGCUUUGAGGACUGGCCCAGGUGGAAAGCAGCUCCGAACCCUCCCCAGGGAUGGUUGAAAAGGGGGUAGAAAUAGUCCACUCAUCAGGGGUAAAUAGUCCCCAGCGGGGAGGGGAUGCCCACUCACAGAAGACCUUCCCACACCCUCAUAAGGUCAGGGGACCCUAAACAUGUUUGAGAUUUUCUCAACAUCUGUGACCAGAGUAUUAGGAUCAUAUUAAGUAUUAAAACAUUGCUUUAAGGAAACCUCUGUGGUGCUGAAAAUGUUCUGUAUCUUGGUGGUAUUCUUUUUCAGGGAGCAUUUUCUCACAGUGUUUAGAGUUACUAGCAUAUGGUGAUGAUGAAAAGAUUAAACUUUGGUUUCAUGAUUGUUUUUAAAUUCUCCAUAGAUGCACUGGUGGACCAUGCCCACCCCAUCCCCAACUUGGUACACCACUGCCUACAGGGAAAGAGAGAGGUGCUUUGAAAGAAUUAUGGUGGAGUAACAACGUGGAGAAGAGUGGACCCAUCUGCAGUGGUUGGAGGAAAAGAAGAAAAGGCUAGAAAAGACACUAGGAUUGGGAGAAGUACCUCUUCCUCUAUUCAGCCCAUGUGGUCUGACUUUUUUUUUUUUAAAUGUUGAGAGGGCGAGCAACAGCGCACACAAGUGGGGGAGGGGCGGGGGGAAGGGGUGGCUGGAGGAAACAGAAUCUGAAGCAGGCUCUAGGCUCUGAGCUGUCAGCACAGAGCCCGACACAGGGCUCCAAUUUACAGACUGUGAGAUCAUGGUCUGAGGUGAAGUCGGUCGCUUAACCUACUGAGCCACCCAGACGCUCCUCAAGCGGUCUGACUUAAAUUAACAUAAUCCCUAAUCUCGAGGCCUUCUAGUGACCUCAGCCUGUGCACAAUCAAGAACUAUCUUCUCAAGGAAUCACAUCAACCCAGGGAUUGGUUCAGGGGAUGCAGAGACGAUCCAGGUUCAUGCAAUGAAGCUCACUCAUGUGGCUUGUGUGGAAGUGAUCAUGGGGAGAGUCACCCUCAGCUGGGUGGCAAAGAGGCCAGGAGGUCAGCAUGUGCUGCCAGCAGCGAUCCAGGCACCUCUGAUGACAGCAAAAGGAAACGGCUGGGCAGUAGCGAGGAGGGAAACACCUGGUGAGCCGAAGGGUCGCGUGCUUCUUGGUUGCUCUGAAGUUUCUGAGUAGUGAACUCCCAUCUUUUGCUAAAAUAAUUUGAGUUGCGCUCCUUUCACUCAUAACCCGAAGAGCUCAAGCUAAUAAGAGGGCGCACUGGGAUGGACCUCGUCGAAGUGAAGCAGAGCCCAAAGGGCCAUUGUUAGCGGGGGUCCUGCACGAGGACAGUGUGACUAGGAGCUUCCUACUCCAUUUGGUCCCAGCUGCGCUCCCACCAUGUCAGUCCGUGCCUUCUCCUUUUGUGUUUAAAAAGGAAAAGGGGUGGGGCGCCUGGGUGGCUCAGUCGGUUAAGCGUCUGACUCUUGGUUUUAGCUCAGAUCAUAUCGUGGUUCGGGAGUUGGAGCCCCGCAUCGGGCUCUGUGCUGACAGCUCGGAGCCUGGAGCCUGCUCCGGAUUCUGCGUUUCCCUCUCUCUCUCUGCCGCUCCCCCACUCGUGCCAUGUCUCUCUUAAAAAAUAAACAUUAAAAAAAACUUUUUAAAGAAAUAAAAAACGUUUAAAAAAAUGAUAAAUGUAAGGAAAAAGAAGAACACCAGACUCAAACUGAGGGACAUCCCACAGAGUAUCAGACCAGGAUUCCUCAAGCCAUCUGAGACAUGGGAGACAGACACACCAGAGGAGCCUAAGGAGAUGACACCCCUAAAUGCGAUGUGAGAUCCCAAAAGGAUGCUGGUGGGAAAAUAUUUGGAAUUCAGUUAGUAGUAAUGAACGAAUGUUAAUUCCUUCCUCCUGGGAAACAAACCAUAGUUAAGUGUGUUGGGGGGGGGGGCAGGGCAUGUGGGAAGUCAGUAAAAUCUCACAAUGUUUGUGUAAAUCCAAAAGGAAUUCAUUUUUCAGCUUCUUUCAGGAUUAUAUAAUUAUGUAUUUUAAAAUGUAAAUCAAGUUGGCAAAAUAAAAGUCUUCACAGCAGUUGCCUUGGGUGAUGGGGAAGGGACAGACAGGACACAUGCACUGACAGAGCUAAAUUUGGUCACAUCAGAAAAAAUAGCUGCAGCAAAGCCUCUUGGACCCAACUUUUCCAUGCCUACAGAUUGCCCUACAAAACCCUCAAACAGGCAGC
RNAcentral lists this long non-coding RNA (3632 nucleotides) under Lynx pardinus (Iberian lynx). Lineage: Eukaryota; Metazoa; Chordata; Mammalia; Carnivora; Felidae. The record is from RNAcentral.